GACGAACGCUGGCGGCGUGCUUAACACAUGCAAGUCGAACGGUAAGGCCCUUCGGGGUACACGAGUGGCGAACGGGUGAGUAACACGUGGGUGAUCUGCCCUGCACUUCGGGAUAAGCCUGGGAAACUGGGUCUAAUACCGGAUAGGACCACUGCCUGCAUGGGUGGUGGUGGAAAGCUUUUGUGGUGUGGGAUGGGCCCGCGGCCUAUCAGCUUGUUGGUGGGGUAAUGGCCUACCAAGGCGACGACGGGUAGCCGGCCUGAGAGGGUGACCGGCCACACUGGGACUGAGAUACGGCCCAGACUCCUACGGGAGGCAGCAGUGGGGAAUAUUGCACAAUGGGCGCAAGCCUGAUGCAGCGACGCCGCGUGAGGGAUGACGGCCUUCGGGUUGUAAACCUCUUUCAGUAGGGACGAAGCGCAAGUGACGGUACCUACAGAAGAAGGACCGGCCAACUACGUGCCAGCCGCCGCUGUAA
RNAcentral lists this ribosomal RNA (478 nucleotides) under uncultured bacterium. RNAcentral describes it as "partial 16S ribosomal RNA". It matches the Rfam family "Bacterial small subunit ribosomal RNA", at positions 28 to 523 of the family's 1533-position model. The record is from RNAcentral.